GACGAACGCUGGCGGCGUGCUUAACACAUGCAAGUCGAACGGUGAAGCGCCUUCCUUUUUGGUGGGUGUGGAUGAGUGGCGAACGGGUGAGUAACACGUGAGUAACCUGCCCCCUUCUUCUGGAUAACCGCAUGAAAGUGUGGCUAAUACGGGAUAUUCUGGGUCUGUCGCAUGAUGGGUCUGGGAAAGAUAUUGUUUCGGUGGGGGAUGGGCUCGCGGCCUAUCAGCUUGUUGGUGGGGUGAUGGCCUACCAAGGCGGUGACGGGUAGCCGGCCUGGGAGGGUGGACGGUCACACUGGGACGGAGACACGGCCCAGACUCCUACGGGAGGCAGCAGUGGGGAAUAUUGCACAAUGGGCGCAAGCCUGAUGCAGCGACGCCGCGUGAGGGAUGGAGGCCUUCGGGUUGUGAACCUCUUUCGCCAGUGAAGCAGGCCUGCCUCGUUUGUGGGUGGGUUGACGGUAGCUGGAGAAGAAGCGCCGGCUAACUACGUG
RNAcentral lists this ribosomal RNA (494 nucleotides) under uncultured bacterium. RNAcentral's name for it is "partial 16S ribosomal RNA". It matches the Rfam family "Bacterial small subunit ribosomal RNA", at positions 28 to 507 of the family's 1533-position model. The record is from RNAcentral.